AGCGGGGGAGGUUGCUUCGGUAAUUGACCUAGCGGCGGACGGGUGAGUAAUACUUAGGAAUCUGCCUAUUAAUGGGGGACAACAUCUCGAAAGGGAUGCUAAUACCGCAUACGCCCUACGGGGGAAAGCAGGGGAUCACUUGUGACCUUGCGUUAAUAGAUGAGCCUAAGUCGGAUUAGCUAGUUGGUGGGGUAAAGGCCUACCAAGGCGACGAUCUGUAGCGGGUCUGAGAGGAUGAUCCGCCACACUGGGACUGAGACACGGCCCAGACUCCUACGGGAGGCAGCAGUGGGGAAUAUUGGACAAUGGGGGGAACCCUGAUCCAGCCAUGCCGCGUGUGUGAAGAAGGCCUUAUGGUUGUAAAGCACUUUAAGCGAGGAGGAGGCUCUUUUGGUUAAUACCCAAGAUGAGUGGACGUUACUCGCAGAAUAAGCACCGGCUAACUCUGUGCCAGCAGCCGCGGUAAUACAGAGGGUGCGAGCGUUAAUCGGAUUUACUGGGCGUAAAGCGUGCGUAGGCGGCUUUUUAAGUCGGAUGUGAAAUCCCCGAGCUUAACUUGGGAAUUGCAUUCGAUACUGGGAAGCUAGAGUAUGGGAGAGGAUGGUAGAAUUCCAGGUGUAGCGGUGAAAUGCGUAGAGAUCUGGAGGAAUACCGAUGGCGAAGGCAGCCAUCUGGCCUAAUACUGACGCUGAGGUACGAAAGCAUGGGGAGCAAACAGGAUUAGAUACCCUGGUAGUCCAUGCCGUAAACGAUGUCUACUAGCCGUUGGGGUCUUUGAGACUUUAGUGGCGCAGCUAACGCGAUAAGUAGACCGCCUGGGGAGUACGGUCGCAAGACUAAAACUCAAAUGAAUUGACGGGGGCCCGCACAAGCGGUGGAGCAUGUGGUUUAAUUCGAUGCAACGCGAAGAACCUUACCUGGUCUUGACAUAGUAAGAACUUUCCAGAGAUGGAUUGGUGCCUUCGGGAACUUACAUACAGGUGCUGCAUGGCUGUCGUCAGCUCGUGUCGUGAGAUGUUGGGUUAAGUCCCGCAACGAGCGCAACCCUUUUCCUUACUUGCCAGCAUUUCGGAUGGGAACUUUAAGGAUACUGCCAGUGACAAACUGGAGGAAGGCGGGGACGACGUCAAGUCAUCAUGGCCCUUACGACCAGGGCUACACACGUGCUACAAUGGUCGGUACAAAGGGUUGCUACCUAGCGAUAGGAUGCUAAUCUCAAAAAGCCGAUCGUAGUCCGGAUUGGAGUCUGCAACUUCCGUCC
RNAcentral lists this ribosomal RNA (1261 nucleotides) under Acinetobacter bereziniae. RNAcentral's name for it is "bacterial SSU rRNA". It matches the Rfam family "Bacterial small subunit ribosomal RNA", at positions 65 to 1317 of the family's 1533-position model. Lineage: Bacteria; Pseudomonadati; Pseudomonadota; Gammaproteobacteria; Moraxellales; Moraxellaceae. The record is from RNAcentral.